CGCCCUUAGAGUUUGAUCAUGGCUCAGAUUGAACGCUGGCGGCAGGCCUAACACAUGCAAGUCGGACGGUAAGAGAGCUUGCUCUCGACGAGUGGCGGACGGGUGAGUAAUGUCUGGGAAACUGCCCGAUGGAGGGGGAUAACUGCUGGAAACGGUAGCUAAUACCGCAUAACGUCGCAAGACCAAAGUGGUUCGUCACACCAUCGGAUGUGCCCAGAUGGGAUUAGCUAGUAGGUGGGGUAACGGCUCACCUAGGCGACGAUCCCUAGCUGGUCUGAGAGGAUGACCAGCCACACUGGAACUGAGACACGGUCCAGACUCCUACGGGAGGCAGCAGUGGGGAAUAUUGCACAAUGGGCGCAAGCCUGAUGCAGCCAUGCCGCGUGUAUGAAGAAGGCCUUCGGGUUGUAAGUACUUUCAGCGGGGGAGGGAAGGGGG
RNAcentral lists this ribosomal RNA (438 nucleotides) under uncultured Pantoea sp. RNAcentral describes it as "bacterial SSU rRNA". It matches the Rfam family "Bacterial small subunit ribosomal RNA", at positions 1 to 456 of the family's 1533-position model. The record is from RNAcentral. Lineage: Bacteria; Pseudomonadati; Pseudomonadota; Gammaproteobacteria; Enterobacterales; Erwiniaceae.